UGAGAAGUUUGCAGUGACAACAGUGUAAUAUUACAGCUGGUGUUGCGAAACAGAGACAGAGUUCGAUAACGCUUUUGAUUGGUGCUACCAGGCACUGAUCCCACACGCACACGAUCGCACCUACGAUCAUAUAAUAUCGAUUAGAUCGAUUCUUAUCGACACCCGGUAGCAUCCAUAGAAUCGCAUCUCAGCCUGAGUAGAACGAUAAAAUGUGAUAGAUGUCAGUCGCGAAUAAACCUUUAUAUGAAACGGUUGUGACGCCUUAGAUCUCUCCACGUCCGAAUAAAGGCUGGGUGCCUCCCAGAGUCCCAGCAGUGUAACCGUGCAAGUUUUUAGUUCCAGUAUAUAGCACCGAAAAUCCCGACAGUGUGGCCGCUCUGAUCCGGCCCAAGUUUUAGUAAUAAACAGCUGGUUAGAAGAAACCGUCGUUCAUGUUGUUACUGCAGUAUGCAGCCUAAUCAAAAAAGCGCAGUUUUUUUUUUAACCUUUGCAUGUCGUCAGAUUUCGUUUUGUUUUGGAAUAAUGUAAGAAAACAAACCGAAGCCCAAAGUUACAAUGGCGUUCUGGAAAUAUCAACUACUAGAAUUGAUGGUUGUUCUCACCAUUGGAGAGGUAAAUCCUAAGCAGUCACCUCAAAAAGCUUCAGUUUCAGCAAAUGCGUUCACUUACUGGUAUUGAUGGCUGAUGUACCCGCUCCAGGAGGGGGAAAAGCGAUUCCCAAGGAGGUUCUCACAAAGGAGGAACACGUCAAACGAGUGGCGGGUAUUUUUGCUGCAUCGGCUGGUGAUAAACCAACGCAUCCCGAGAUUCUCAGUGGUGUCGUUAAGUCCGACCAAGGCAAAAAGUACAUUUAUACCGUUUCCUACGAUGUGGCGAUGUGUUUCAACGAUGUGGCCAAAGAGUAUGAAGUCUUGGUGUGGGAGCGACCCUGGCUGGCUGAAACGAAGCCCAAUGAGGCGUAUGUUUAUGAGAGUAAAUGCUGAAAAAUAAAACUGCUUUGGUGUUACAGAAGU
This is an RNA transcript of Wyeomyia smithii (pitcher-plant mosquito), 1013 nucleotides long. RefSeq lists it as uncharacterized. Lineage: Eukaryota; Metazoa; Arthropoda; Insecta; Diptera; Culicidae. The transcript has 4 exons. The record is from RefSeq and is a predicted model, not a curated record.